Molecule: transfer RNA, 66 nt
Filed under: Mirhipipteryx andensis
Lineage: Eukaryota; Metazoa; Arthropoda; Insecta; Orthoptera; Ripipterygidae
Description: tRNA-Ser
Source: RNAcentral
AGUUAGUAAGCUUUAAGCAUUAUAUUUUGAAAAUAUAAGAAAGAUAUUAAAUUUAUCUACUAGCUU